ACACUGCAAGUCGCACGGGGUUUAAGAGGAAGCUUGCGAAUCUUAGACCUAGUGGCGCACGGGUGAGUAACGCGUCGGAUAACCUGCCUGGUAGACCGGGAUAACGGCUGGAAACGGCUGCUAAUACCGGAUACGCUCUGCUGAGCGCAUGUUUGGGAGAGGAAAGAAGUAUCGCUAUCAGAUGGGUCCGCGUCCCAUUAGCUAGUUGGUGGUGUAAGAGACCACCAAGGCGACGAUGGGUAGCCGGCCUGAGAGGGCGACCGGCCACACUGGGACUGAGACACGGCCCAGACUCCUACGGGAGGCAGCAGUGGGGAAUCUUCCACAAUGGGCGAAAGCCUGACGGAGCAGCGCCGCGUGAGGGAAGAGGGCCUUCGGGUUGUAAACCUCUGUCUUCAAGGAAGAAGUAAUGACCGUACUUGGAGAGGAAGCUCCGGCUGACUACGGUGCCAGCCUCCGCGGUAGAACGUACGGGGCGAGCGUUGUCCGGAAUUACUGGGCGUAAAGGGCGCGUAGGUGGUACAUUAAGUCAGAGGUGAAAGAUCGGGGCUCAACCGCGAGAUUGCCUCUGAUACUGGUGGACUUGAGUGCAGGAUAGGGGAGCGGAAUUCCCAGUGUACCGGUGAAAGGCCUAGAUCUUGUGAGGAACAUCGGUGGCGAAUGCUGCUCUCUGGACUGCACUGACACUGAUGCUCGAAUGCGUGCGGAGCUGACAGGAUUAGAUACCCUGGUAGUCCACGCCUUACACGAUGAGUGCUGGAUGUUGGAGGUAUCGACUCCUGCAGUGUCGUAGUUAACACACUAAGCACUGCGACUGGCGAGUACGGUAGCAACACUGACACUCAGAGGUAUUGACGGGAGCCCGCCCAUUCGCUGGAGUAUGUGGUAUACUUCUACCCACUGCGGAAAACCUUACCAGGGCUUGACAUCCUCUGAUCGCUCUAGAGCUACGGCUUUCAUCCUUCGAGAUGACGUACAGACACGUCGUGCAUGAUUGUCGCAACUCGUGUCAUGAGAUGUCGCGUUAGUCCCGCACCAGCGCACCCUAAUAUACUUAGCUCGAGUAAGUCCGGACUUACUGUACUGCAGUGAAGACUAAGACGGAGGCAUAUUCCAUCUCG
Molecule: ribosomal RNA, 1121 nt
Filed under: uncultured bacterium
Lineage: Bacteria
Description: bacterial SSU rRNA
Rfam family: Bacterial small subunit ribosomal RNA
Source: RNAcentral